RNAcentral lists this ribosomal RNA (371 nucleotides) under uncultured organism. RNAcentral describes it as "partial 16S ribosomal RNA". It matches the Rfam family "Bacterial small subunit ribosomal RNA", at positions 527 to 896 of the family's 1533-position model. The record is from RNAcentral.
GUAGGGUGCGAGCGUUAAUCGGAAUUACUGGGCGUAAAGCGUGCGCAGGCGGUUAUGUAAGACAGAUGUGAAAUCCCCGGGCUCAACCUGGGAACUGCAUUAGUGACUGCAUAGCUGGAGUACGGCAGAGGGGGAUGGAAUUCCGCGUGUAGCAGUGAAAUGCGUAGAUAUGCGGAGGAACACCGAUGGCGAAGGCAAUCCCCUGGGUCUGUACUGACGCUCAUGCACGAAAGCGUGGGGAGCAAACAGGAUUAGAUACCCUGGUAGUCCCACGCCCCUAAACGAUGUCAACUGGUUGUUGGGUCUUCACUGACUCAGUAACGAAGCUAACGCGUGAAGUUGACCGCCUGGGGAGUACGGCCGCAAGGUUG